CAUAAAGUGAUCUAGGGUUCCGAUAGACAACUCCUCAAAGUUGGCUAUGACUGAGACCGAGAGUUCACGGUUCGCAAGAACUACACGGAGGGAUAAAAGCCCGGGAGGU
This 109-nucleotide small RNA is filed under the name Acinetobacter haemolyticus. RNAcentral's name for it is "Guanidine-I sequence". It matches the Rfam family "Guanidine-I riboswitch aptamer". Rfam says of the family: This family represents a conserved RNA structure found upstream of the ykkC and yxkD genes in Bacillus subtilis and related genes in other bacteria. The function of this family is unclear although it has been suggested that it may function to switch on efflux pumps and detoxification systems in response to harmful environmental molecules. Lineage: Bacteria; Pseudomonadati; Pseudomonadota; Gammaproteobacteria; Moraxellales; Moraxellaceae. The record is from RNAcentral.